RNAcentral lists this ribosomal RNA (253 nucleotides) under uncultured Lactobacillus sp. RNAcentral's name for it is "partial 16S ribosomal RNA". It matches the Rfam family "Bacterial small subunit ribosomal RNA", at positions 524 to 776 of the family's 1533-position model. Lineage: Bacteria; Bacillati; Bacillota; Bacilli; Lactobacillales; Lactobacillaceae. The record is from RNAcentral.
UACGUAGGUGGCAAGCGUUAUCCGGAUUUAUUGGGCGUAAAGGGAACGCAGGCGGUCUUUUAAGUCUGAUGUGAAAGCCUUCGGCUUAACCGGAGUAGUGCAUUGGAAACUGGGAGACUUGAGUGCAGAAGAGGAGAGUGGAACUCCAUGUGUAGCGGUGGAAUGCGCAGAUAUCGGGAAGAACACCGAUGGCGAAGGCAGAUCUCUGGGCCGCAACCGACGCUGAGGCGCGAAAGCUAGGGGAGCGAACAGG